UGGGGACAGCUGAGCUUCUCCUGAUCCCUUACCUGCAAUAGAGCACUAAUUAUAGUCGCAGGGAGGGGUCAGAGGGCGGGAGGAGGAGGAAAGCCAACAUCUGUGCAGAGGCCGUGGGAGCCAGGCCCGCUGCUGGUCCUGGUGACCCAGGAUGUCCUCGGGUCUGCGCCAGGUGACCCGGCUCUAGGAAAGGCUUUUUCUGCAGCUCCCAGGCCCGUGAUAGCUUCCUGGAGGUACAGCUUAUGAGAGCUGGAGACGCCGCACAAACAGCUCCCAAAUAUGGACCGCAGAUCGAGAGAGAGAGAAGGAGGAGAAGCAGAAGGAGAGGGAGAAGCAGACGCCCCGCUGAGCAGGGAGCCCGACGUGGGACUCGAUCCCAGGACCCUGGGAUCAUGAGCUGAGCCGGGGGCAGACGCUUCUCCCACGGAGCCCCCGAGCACCCCAGUCUUCUGUUUCCUAUUCGGUGCCUGCUUCCUGCCCGGUGGGAGCAGAUCACCCUGGAGGUGCCGGCGACGGGAUGAGACACGGCUCCGCCCUCCUAGUGUCUCGGCUCCGUCAGCGAUGGAUGGACUUUCACAAAAUACAUGUCCAGCUAAUUAGUAAUCUGACAAAAUUAUGCAAAUGGCCACGGUUUGGCCAGAACUUUUUUUUUGGCCAGAAAUUUUAUUUUUUUUCUGACUGGAUUUUUUUUCCUGCUAAACAUGGAAAUCGGUCACAGAUCAGUUCCAGGUUAUCGUGAAGCCCGAAUAAGCCUGUAUUUUUUUUUCCUAUUUGCUUUAAGGCGCAUCUCAGUGUGACCACACACCUCAAAGAAAUAAA
Long non-coding RNA from Canis lupus familiaris (dog), 819 nucleotides. RefSeq lists it as uncharacterized. NCBI's taxonomy places the organism in Eukaryota, Metazoa, Chordata, Mammalia, Carnivora, Canidae. The record is from RefSeq and is a predicted model, not a curated record. The transcript has 3 exons.